CCUGGUGGCUGCAGGGAGGAAUAGUGGUCAAGGGGAGCUAGCCGGAAACAGCCAAGGAGCGUGAAGGAUGACUGCCCUAUGGGUUGUAAACGUCUUUUAUAUGGGAAUAAAGUGCAGUAUGUAUACUGCUUUGCAUGUACCUUAUGAAUAAGGAUCGGCUAACUCCGUGCCAGCAGCCGCGGUAAUACGGAGGAUCCGAGCGUUAUCCGGAUUUAUUGGGUUUAAAGGGAGCGUAGGCGGGUUGUUAAGUCAGUUGUGAAAGUUUGCGGCUCAACCGUAAAAUUGCAGUUGAUACUGGCAUCCUUGAGUACAGUAGAGGUAGGCGGAAUUCGUGGUGUAGCGGUGAAAUGCUUAGAUAUCACGAAGAACUCCGAUUGCGAAGGCAGCCUGCUGGACUGUAACUGACGCUGAUGCUCGAAAGUGUGGGUAUCAAACAGGAUUAGAUACCCUGGUAGUC
Molecule: ribosomal RNA, 457 nt
Filed under: uncultured bacterium
Lineage: Bacteria
Description: partial 16S ribosomal RNA
Rfam family: Bacterial small subunit ribosomal RNA
Source: RNAcentral